Molecule: transfer RNA, 71 nt
Filed under: Neoachiropsetta milfordi
Lineage: Eukaryota; Metazoa; Chordata; Actinopteri; Pleuronectiformes; Rhombosoleidae
Description: tRNA-Val
Rfam family: tRNA
About the family: Transfer RNA (tRNA) molecules are approximately 80 nucleotides in length.
Source: RNAcentral
CAGAGCGUAGCUUAAUAGGAUAGCGUCUCCCUUACACUGAGAAGACAUUUGUGCAAACCGAAUCGCCCUGA